CCUACGGGCGGCAGCAGUGAGGAAUAUUGGUCAAUGGGCGCAAGCCUGAACCAGCCAAGUCGCGUGAAGGAUGACGGUCCUAUGGAUUGUAAACUUCUUUUAUAAGGGAAUAAAGUGUGGCACGUGUCCCUUUUUGUAUGUACCUUAUGAAUAAGGAUCGGCUAACUCCGUGCCAGCAGCCGCGGUAAUACGGAGGAUCCGAGCGUUAUCCGGAUUUAUUGGGUUUAAAGGGUGCGUAGGUGGGCUGUUAAGUCAGUGGUGAAAGUUUGGGGCUCAACCAUAAAAUUGCCGUUGAAACUGGGAGGCUUGAGUAUAGUUGAGGCAGGCGGAAUGCGUGGUGUAGCGGUGAAAUGCUUAGAUAUCACGCAGAACUCCGAUUGCGAAGGCAGCCUACCAAACCAUGACUGACACUGAUGCUCGAAAGCGUGGGUAUCAAACAGGAUUAGAUACCCUUGUAGUC
This 460-nucleotide ribosomal RNA is filed under the name uncultured bacterium. RNAcentral describes it as "partial 16S ribosomal RNA". It matches the Rfam family "Bacterial small subunit ribosomal RNA", at positions 338 to 795 of the family's 1533-position model. The record is from RNAcentral.